This is a long non-coding RNA of Austrofundulus limnaeus, 557 nucleotides long. RefSeq lists it as uncharacterized. The record is from RefSeq and is a predicted model, not a curated record. Lineage: Eukaryota; Metazoa; Chordata; Actinopteri; Cyprinodontiformes; Rivulidae. The transcript has 2 exons.
GAGUGUAUUUUAGAGUGUUUUAGAGUCUGGUUUAGAGUGUGUGUUUUAGAGUGUAUUUUAGAGUGUUUUAGAGUGUGUCAGCUGUCAGACGUUGGUGUGACAGCAGACAUGAGCUCAGUAGGAUUGAAGCAGGUUUCAGGCCUCGGUGAACACGAAGCUUCAGUCGGUCUCUGCGGCGCCCUCUGCUGCUCCGUCACCACUGCGGAGAGCCACAGGGCCGCUCCGCCACCUCCGCCCGCCCCACCCUGGCAACCGAGCGGCACCGGCAGCUGCCUGUCGCCACGGCAACCGGCCCAGAUCGCCGGUCACCACAAUGUGAGCAAUAUUUUGCAGACGUGCGCUGCAGAUCCUGCAGGAACAGGCGAAAGAUUAGACUGAGCUGAUGAUGAAGAGGAGGAGGAGGAGGAGAGGAAAACGAGGUCACAGCAAACAUGGAGAGCUGCAGCAGGAAGGACGGAGGAAGGACAAAGAGCUGAUCUCAGGUCUCAGCUGUCAGCCUGACUUUGUUUGUUUUAGAAUUUAUUUAUUACAGAAUAAAAGGACUUUCAGGAAGUUUA